UACAGAGGGUGCAAGCGUUGUUCGGAAUUAUUGGGCGUAAAGGGCGCGUAGGCGGCAUGGCAAGUGGAUGGUGAAAUCCCUCGGCUUAACCGAGGAACUGCCGUCCAAACUGCUUCGCUUGAGACCGGGAGAGGUGAGUGGAAUUCCCAGUGUAGCGGUGAAAUGCGUAGAUAUUGGGAGGAACACCAGUGGCGAAGGCGGCUCACUGGACCGGUACUGACGCUGAUGCGCGAAAGCGUGGGGAGCAAACGGG
This 253-nucleotide ribosomal RNA is filed under the name uncultured bacterium. Its description in RNAcentral is "partial 16S ribosomal RNA". It matches the Rfam family "Bacterial small subunit ribosomal RNA", at positions 524 to 776 of the family's 1533-position model. The record is from RNAcentral.